ACAGGGAUUGCCCUAGUAACGGCGAGUGAAGCGGCAACAGCUCAAAUUUGAAAUCUGGCGUCUUUGGCGUCCGAGUUGUAAUUUGCAGAGGGCGCUUUGGUAUUGGCAGCGGUCCAAGUUCCUUGGAACAGGACGUCACAGAGGGUGAGAAUCCCGUACGUGGUCGCUAGCCUUUACCGUGUAAAGCCCCUUCGACGAGUCGAGUUGUUUGGGAAUGCAGCUCUAAAUGGGAGGUAAAUUUCUUCUAAAGCUAAAUACUGGCCAGAGACCGAUAGCGCACAAGUAGAGUGAUCGAAAGAUGAAAAGCACUUUGGAAAGAGAGUUAAAAAGCACGUGAAAUUGUUGAAAGGGAAGCGCUUGCAGCCAGACUUGCCUGUAGUUGCUCAUCCGGGUUUUUACCCGGUGCACUCUUCUAUAGGCAGGCCAGCAUCAGUUUGGGCGGUUGGAUAAAGGUCUCUGUCAUGUACCUCCCUUCGGGGAGAACUUAUAGGGGAGACGACAUGCAACCAGCCCGGACUGAGGUCCGCGCAUCUGCUAGGAUGCUGGCGUAAUGGCUGUAAGCGGCCCGUCUUGAAACACGGACCAAGGAGUCUAACAUCUAUGCGAGUGUUUGGGUGUCAAGCCCGAACGCGUAAUGAAAGUGAACGGAGGUGGGAACCUUUCGGGGUGCACCAUCGACCGAUCCUGAUGUCUUCGGAUGGAUUUGAGUAAGAGCAUAGCUGUUGGGACCCGAAAGAUGGUGAACUAUGCUUGAAUAGGGUGAAGCCAGAGGAAACUCUGGUGGAGGCUCGCAGCGGUUCUGACGUGCAAAUCGAUCGUCAAAUUUGGGCAUAGGGGCGAAAGACUAAUCGA
RNAcentral lists this ribosomal RNA (852 nucleotides) under Remotididymella fici-microcarpae. RNAcentral describes it as "partial large subunit ribosomal RNA". It matches the Rfam family "Eukaryotic large subunit ribosomal RNA", at positions 68 to 938 of the family's 3401-position model. Lineage: Eukaryota; Fungi; Ascomycota; Dothideomycetes; Pleosporales; Didymellaceae. The record is from RNAcentral.